RNAcentral lists this ribosomal RNA (398 nucleotides) under uncultured bacterium. RNAcentral describes it as "bacterial SSU rRNA". It matches the Rfam family "Bacterial small subunit ribosomal RNA", at positions 358 to 773 of the family's 1533-position model. The record is from RNAcentral.
GGAAUUUUGCGCAAUGGGCGAAGGCCCGACGCAGCAACGCCGCGUGAGGGAUGAAGGCCUUCGGGUUGUAAACCUCUUUUCUGAGGGAAGAUGAUGACGGUACCUCAGGAAUAAGCAACGGCUAAUUACGUGCCAGCAGCCGCGGUAAUACGUAGGUGGCAAGCGUUGUCCGGAUUUACUGGGCGUAAAGAGCGCGCAGGCGGUCGUUCAAGUCGCGUGUGAAAGCCCCCGGCUCAACUGGGGAGGGUCACGCGAUACUGAUCGACUCGAAGGCAGGAGAGGGUAGUGGAAUUCCCGGUGUAGUGGUGAAAUGCGUAGAUAUCUGGAGGAACACCGGUGGCGAAGGCGGCAUCCUGGACCGACAUUGACGCUGAGGCGCGAAAGCCAGGGGAGCAAAC